UACGUAGGGGGCAAGCGUUGUCCGGAUUUAUUGGGCGUAAAGAGCGUGUAGGCGGCCUGAAAGGUCAGCUGUGAAAACUCGAGGCUCAACCUCGAGACGUCGGCGGAAACCAUCUGGCUAGAGUCCGGAAGAGGAGAGUGGAAUUCCUGGUGUAGCGGUGAAAUGCGCAGAUAUCAGGAAGAACACCCGUGGCGAAGGCGGCGCUCUGGGACGGUACUGACGCUGAGACGCGAAAGCGUGGGGAGCGAACAGG
This 253-nucleotide ribosomal RNA is filed under the name uncultured bacterium. RNAcentral describes it as "partial 16S ribosomal RNA". It matches the Rfam family "Bacterial small subunit ribosomal RNA", at positions 524 to 776 of the family's 1533-position model. The record is from RNAcentral.